UACGUAGGGUGCAAGCGUUAUCCGGAAUUAUUGGGCGUAAAGAGCUCGUAGGCGGUUUGUCGCGUCUGCUGUGAAAACCCGAGGCUCAACCUCGGGCCUGCAGUGGGUACGGGCAGACUAGAGUGCGGUAGGGGAGAUUGGAAUUCCUGGUGUAGCGGUGGAAUGCGCAGAUAUCAGGAGGAACACCGAUGGCGAAGGCAGAUCUCUGGGCCGUAACUGACGCUGAGGUGCGAAAGCGUGGGGAGCAAACAGG
RNAcentral lists this ribosomal RNA (253 nucleotides) under uncultured bacterium. Its description in RNAcentral is "partial 16S ribosomal RNA". It matches the Rfam family "Bacterial small subunit ribosomal RNA", at positions 524 to 776 of the family's 1533-position model. The record is from RNAcentral.